GCGGAUUCUAUAGGAGCUAGUUCAUGUCAUAGAGAUACAGUAUGAUCAUGCUAGCUGGACCGUAGUUAGCUUGUAUUCAUUGUUAGCAUGGUUGAACGGAAUGUUUGUGCUAAAAUCUGAAGAAUUUCUUGUUUGACGCACAUCGGAGCGACGUUCUUACAGCCACGUUCGCGCUUCUUCCAACUGUUAUUUGAGGGAGUAAGACGGUGAGAAGGACACGGGCACUUUCCCGAGGCGGAGUCGGGGGUGGAGGGGUGAAGAGAGGAGGCAUGGAGUGUGACGUGACCUUCUGCCACCAAGAGGAAAGAGAGACUAUGAUUGCAAGUGGACAAUACAGCUGUGUGUGUGUGUGUGUGUGUGUGUGUGUGUGUGUGUGUGUGUGUGAGAGAGAGAGAGAUUAGGAUUGAGAUGAGUCCAGGUUCAUCUUGUACUUUUACAUAAAUACAGCAUGAGCCUCUCACACACACACCUUACUGUAACACUACACUGAAUGAGACACUGUUGAGAUACCUGAGCCAACACACACACACACACACACACACACACACACGCUAUACACAGAUUGCCUGGCUAGUCCUAGCCGACACAGUGUCACAGUCCAUCCUAUGAAGCACUCCUAUUGUGUGUGUGUGUGUGUGUGUGUGUGUGUGUGUGUGUGUGUGUAUGUGUAUAAUAUAUAGGCCAGGAGGUCACACUGAAUUCCAUUGUGUGGAGAAAACAAGGCCACUGGUCAGUAACCUGAUUCUACAUGUGCGAAUGUUCGCUCCCACG
Long non-coding RNA from Ictalurus punctatus (channel catfish), 771 nucleotides. The record is from Ensembl. NCBI's taxonomy places the organism in Eukaryota, Metazoa, Chordata, Actinopteri, Siluriformes, Ictaluridae.